UAUCAUCACAAUUAUAACCUUAACCGUUAUAUUUUCACGUGAAGUCUAAUGUAAACAAACAGAUCCAAGAUGAUUAAUGUGUUUUUAUUGUUUGUGCCACUCAUAAAAUCGUGAUAAAGUAAAUUUCAUUUAGUUUUGUAAGAAAAUUGUGGAUCUUAAUCAAAUAAAAAGAAUUUGUGUUCGUGACGAUUCGAAAUUAGCUUUUACCAAUUAAGCUGUGGCAUUUUGUUAGCAACACAUUCACUUGAACAUUUUAAAUCAUUUAUUUUCUUGAGAAAACUGUUUUAGAUUAUGUUGCGUGAAAACAAUACAUUCUUUGUUAUUGCAUCACUUAAAAGAAACUGAGAAAUUUAUUCAUUGUAUAUGAGGAUGUAGUUAUGGCACAGUGCAACCAUGAAGUUUCGUCAGAGAUUAGCCUGGAUUAUUUUAUUUUUAUACCUUCUACUGUCACUUUUGGCUAUUUAUUAUUAUUUUGAAAUUAGUGAUCAAUAUAACACUCUUGCACUUGAACAUAAUAAAGUUCACCAUUCAUCCAUAGGCUUGAAAAGUGGUAGUUCUCAUUGGAUUUCUUUGUGGAAGCAUUUGCCAGAUGUACCCUUCACUUUGUGGUUAUUUAUUUUUGCUUUAUUUUAUUUUCAAAUAUUUUUCUGCAUUUAUGUUUGUACUCAACCAGAUCCCAAAGAAAUAUUAUAUUCAUUGCCAUGCAUGCUUUGUGCCAAAAAGAUAUCUAAACAUGAUAAAGUGUUAUUGUCUCCUAUUUAGGUGAUGUAGAGUUUGUAUAUAUUAUGUGUUUCUAUUGAAACAUAUUCUCAUUUAUAAUUAUUUGGAUAUUAACCAUUUGUUUACUGUGCUUAGCCUGGUGAAGUCUGUCAUUCUGGUCAACUUGUUGUACCAGUUGUAAUCAGAAGGUUAAAAUUCUAAAAAUCUAUACACUAAAUUGCUAGUAUGUUUUGUAGAUUAUUUUUUAUUUCAAUUGUUUUAUGAAGUGAAAUUUAUAUUACAAAUUUAUGUGUUCUCUAUGUUUUAGAUCUGAAAUGAAGUUAUUUUUCUAAUUCUUAAUUGGGAACAAAUGAAUAUUAACUAACUGUGUAUUGAUCUUUUCAAAAAUACAUGUCCUUUAUUUAAAAAAUGCUUAUUUGAUUUAAAUAAGAAGAGACUAUUUUUAUGCUUCUAACUGUUGCUUAUUAACAGGAGUAUGUGACAGUAAAAAAUAUUACUUGGUAACAAUGAUUAUCUGUUGGUUAAUCAUUUAAUUUCUUUUCUUGAUUCUUUAACUGAAUUUAUGUAUAUAUUUUUCCUUUUUACAUUCAAUACAAAUAUUUAUAGCACAUUCUGAUUUAUUUCUUUAUAAUUAUAUCUGGACUUUUUACUAACUAGUAUCUAUAUCAGCUUUGUUGUUUCUGAUUUAAGAAUGUAUAAUCAUGCAAGAGUAACAUAAGAUUUCUCAUUGUGGUGACAGAGCAUUAUAUUGUAUACUUUCAAGGGUCUGGUAUAAAGGUGAUUAGGUUUGUUUCAAGUAUACUUUUCAGAAUAUCAUCUAACAGUUUUGACUUUAUUUUACCAAUAUUAAAUUGAUUAACUAACUUUCAAUGUUUAAAUAUUAAUGAGAUACAAUUGCUUCAAAAUAAAUGAACUGCAUUAUUAUUUAUUAAUUUAUAUCUAUUUUACAGUUUCAAUUAAUUGUCUAAAUAGUUUUGAUUAAUUACAUAAAAUAAUCAAAUUCAAUUAUCAUGAUGAAAUUGCUUAUUCCAACUUAUUAAUCAAGAAAAUUUGCUGUGUGAUAUGUAUCAUAUUCUCUUGAUGAAAAAUCCUAGUCGAUGUAAAUAUCAAUCAUUCUUGUAACUUUCCUCCAUGAGGAAAAUAAAUGUGAUCUCUAAAAUAUAUGUAUAAAAUUGUUAACAAUUUUAUAUUUAAGCAACAUAUCAAAAAAUAUAUUGUGGUUGUUAAACAUGUAUUUGCUUGUGCAUUUAUUUUUUAACUGUAUGAUACAUUUUACAAAUUCUAUAUAAUUAUCGAAUUUGUAGUUUUUUUAAAUUGCAUUUUAAGUACUAAUAUUAUUGCAUUCCAAAUUAUGUUGCCAAAAUGCUUUUCAAAAUUUGUUACAUUCUUCUUCUUUGAUUCAAAAAUGGCUCUUAAUUUUAAAAUCUAAUUUAUAGUAAAUAUUGUUAUAUUGACUAUUAAAACCAAACUAUUUAAAAUUAUGAACAUUUAAUAACUUUUAAGUGACAUAUGUACUUAUUUAUUGACAAAUUAUUGCAAAAAUGUUCAAAAAGGUUCUCUAAGAAUAAGUGUAUUAUUACUGUAGAAUUAUUGUACCCAUUGCUUAAUAAGUUUUACUCUUUGUAAAUUUUAUGAAAGAUCUCGAAGGUUUAUUAUAUUGCCAAUUGACUAUUUGUUUCUGAAAGUAAUUGUAUAGGAUAUAUUUUAUAAUACAGGUGAAUUCAGUCUGUAUAUCUUAGUUAUUUUUGAUCAGAUUCUCAUAUAGGCUUUUAGUUCUAUCUCAAAUUUUUCUUUAAAAAAAUAUCUCAUGCAAUAAAAUUUUUAAAAUUAGUUAGUUACAAGUUUCACUGAUAUCAAAUUAGUAGUAUAAUUUAAUAAAGGAGUGUGGUGUACACAGGCUAGAAAAUGUAGUUACAGAAUUGAUACUUAAAAAGUUGGAAAUGAAAUAGGAUCUCGUAUGCAUCAGUCAAAUGUUCAAAAAUUUUGUUUUGUGUGGCUUUCAUUGCACUACAAAGAUUUAUUUUCACUUUUUACUCUAAAUAAUGAUCAUAUAUAUCCCUACUGCCAUUUUAUGUUUUAUGGGAGAUAGAAAUUGUUGAUACUAAAAGUAAAUAAAGAAUCUCGGCAAUAAAAUGUAGCAUUUUUUAUAUGAAAUAACUUGUAUGAUUACAAAUCUCUAUUAAAUUUAUACUAUGCAAAACUACUUAUGUAAUUAAAUAAAAUUAAUUUUUUUUAAAAAAAUUAAAGCGAAAGAUGGAGAAAAAAAGAAUUUUAAAUUGAAUGUAUUAACUAUCAUUUAUUGAAUGUAUUACUUUUAAAAACAUUUUUAUUUAUCUGUCAUUACAACAGGGGUGUGAUAAUCAGGGAAUACAUUAAGUACUUUUUUCAUUACCAUUAUCAUUUCUGUUUAAAUGACUAAAAGUAAAUGUUUUGAUAUUGUUAAGUAUAAUAUAAUAAAGUUGUUUUUAUUGUGAAUUUGUUGAAAUUAGGCAAGGGAAGGAAAGUAAGUUCCAAAGCAACAUGUACUAUAUAAUCUCUAGAUUUUCAAAUUUAUAUCUAUUAAACAUUGCAGCAGGUUAUUUUUGAGGAUUAUAUAAUUAUACUACAAUACAAACAAUAGAAUUUUCAUCUCUUUGACAACCUAAAACAAAGAUGAAAUACUCAUGAGGUCUGGUGAGAAAAGCUAGCUAGUGCCUCAACUCCUUAGUAUUUUAAAAACAAUUAAAAGCUUUUUAUAUGAUAAAAUUAACAACUUUUUAUUUAAUAUUUGUUAGUUUUUAUUAUUUAUUCUCUUUGUUCAACACACAUUAUAAAAUACAAAAACUUGCAUAUCGCAAUAAAUGAAUAUAAAAAUGUUCAUCUUAUGAUUUCUAAUUAAAUGUUAUUUUUCAAAUAAGAAAGCCCACCAUAUGCCAAAAUAGUUAAUAAAUUUAUUAUAUAUUUUACAUAAAAUAAAUUCUAACCAAAAAUAUUUUACAAAAUUAUACUAAAAUUUGUGUAAAAAAUAUUCAGAUUUUAUUUAUCAACUUGUGGUUGAGUACAUUUAGGACCUCAUUUUUUUUUAUAUCAUUAUAAUUUUAUAUACAAAGGAUAUAUUAUAGGAAGAAAACAUCGCAGACAAAAAAUACUUACAUAUUGAAAUUAUUAUUAUUAUUUUGCAUGAGUAAAACUUAAGAACACUUGGUGUAUAAUAAACUUUCUGUGCUCUUUUCAAAUUUUUGUUAAUUAUUUGUUGUUACACUAUUAUUACAUUAUUGUUAUUAAAAAAAUUGAAAAACAUGUUGUAUAUAUUUUAUUAAGUUGUCAAUUUAUGAAUGAAUGUUCAGUAAAUCCUAUUCCUUAUUUAUGGAUGCAUUUUAACAGUUAAAGGAUCAGUCCCAGAUUUUAAAAUAUUUUGUAUGAAUUGUAUUAAUAAAUUGCUAAAUAUUUAAAUUUUGUUGAAUAUUUAGUUAGUGAGCAAUUAUUACAAAAUUGUUCAUUUGUGCAGUUCUUAGCAUGAUACAUAAUAUACAUUGCAAUUUGGUAUUUGAAAAUAUUGAAGUUCCAACAAUAUUAAUAAGAAUCGGACAAAAUUUGAAUUUUCUGAAAAUAUAUUAUUUAUAUUAAAUAAAUAAAAAAUACAUCAGAAACAAAACAUUAAUUCCCUAAAGGAUUAUGUUUAAUUUUAAACAAAAUGGAUCAUUUUUUCAUGUAAUUCCAAUAAAAAGUAAAGCUUAAUAUUAUUUAUAAUUUUCAAAGAUUUAUAAAAUCAGUUAUACAGGGCAUAUUAAAAUUUAUGUAUCCUUAAAUCUUUUGCUAAUCUCUCACAUGAAUUCAACUCAUAAAAUUACCAUAAUAUGAAUUAUUAAAAUAAUGUAUAUGCAUGAAUAUUUUUAUUAUGUUUACUUUCGUUUCAAAGAAAUUUUCUUUUGCUCAAUUAUCAUAUAACGCAAGUAUGUAAUUGGUGAUACAUUUUUGUUUUUAAUAAAAAAUUUUGUAAACA
Parasteatoda tepidariorum (common house spider) is the source of this 4702-nucleotide long non-coding RNA. RefSeq lists it as uncharacterized. The record is from RefSeq and is a predicted model, not a curated record. NCBI's taxonomy places the organism in Eukaryota, Metazoa, Arthropoda, Arachnida, Araneae, Theridiidae.